This 278-nucleotide long non-coding RNA is filed under the name Cricetulus griseus (Chinese hamster). RNAcentral describes it as "lncRNA (ENSCGRG00000024245.1)". Lineage: Eukaryota; Metazoa; Chordata; Mammalia; Rodentia; Cricetidae. The record is from RNAcentral.
AUUUAAACCUUUAAUACCUUGAGUAUAGGUCUUAAGACACACAUAGAAUGACUUUAACUAUAAGACUUUGAGCCUAGUGUGUAUAACAAACACCUGAAAGGUGUAAUGGAGACUUUAGGAACAUGCUUCAGAGUGGCUGAAGAUCCUGAGAAGGACAAAACUCACACGAGAAAGGGAGCCACGAGAAAGGGACUACACAGAAGGUUUGUCCUGAGGACCUGGGUAUCGUGGUAUAUGCAUCAUUCACAUCAGCUCUACAGUUUGGAAAAACAAUCCGG